AAUAAAGUAAGCUAAAAUACAAGCUGUUGGGUUCAUACCCCAAAAAUGAAUUAUAAUUCCUUUGUUA
This 67-nucleotide transfer RNA is filed under the name Euprymna berryi. RNAcentral's name for it is "tRNA-Met". Lineage: Eukaryota; Metazoa; Mollusca; Cephalopoda; Sepiida; Sepiolidae. The record is from RNAcentral.